Molecule: long non-coding RNA, 1305 nt
Filed under: Apteryx haastii (Great spotted kiwi)
Lineage: Eukaryota; Metazoa; Chordata; Aves; Apterygiformes; Apterygidae
Description: lncRNA (ENSAHAG00000008909.1)
Source: RNAcentral
AGAUUCAGAAGCAGAGUCCCACCUGGGUCACCAAAACUGUCACCGAAAUAGGAAAUAAAACUCCUUAACACCAAUGUAGCAUUAAGAAGCAGGCAUUCUCUUUAUUAUGGCGCCGGGUGCAUGGGGGAUCGCUCUGCCCAAUGUGCAUGCCAUAUGUUGCAUUAGCCAAAGUUUAUAUUCCUCUGUUACAUACAUAUAUGCAUUAAAUUUCCAGGAAUGAUUAUACAUAUUCAUUCUAUUUCCUGGAACUAAUCACCAUAUUUACAUAGUCAUUACACAUGCGGUCUGAGUCUCUGGGGGUCUUCUGUGGGGGUCUCUGGUGGUCCCUGGUGGUCCCUAGUGGUUGCUGAAGAGGUGCCUUUUCCAUGAACUCUGAGCUCCUUUUCCAUAUAUGGUCUCGGCUUGGCUCAUUUCUUUGCUUGAGAAAGCUGUAUUCCUCCUAACCUUGGUUUCACCUGGUUUCUGCUGGUUUAUCUGUACCCCCUUAGGAUGUAUCAGUGAGAGCUGCGAGAACUGUAUCCUUGGGUGCAUUCUUGUCUGAAGCUCCUGGUAACAAAGUGACCAGCACUGGCCUAACAGGCACUGAGGAACAAAUGACCUCAUAACCACAAACAACAGACACAUCACCAGCACAGGCCUGUCAGGCACUGAGCCACAAGUGACCUCACAACCACAAACAGCAUCCACCUGACCAGCACUGGCCUAUCAGGCACCGAGGCUCAAGUGACCUCACAACCACAAACAAAAACAACAUGACCAGAACUGACCUAACAGCAACUGAGGCACAAGUGACCUCACAACCACUAACAGGAGGCAGAUGACCAGCAACGGCCUAUCAGGCACUGAGGCACUGGUAACCUCACAACCACAAACUGCACCCACAUGACCAGCACUGGCCUAUCAGGCACCGAGGCUCAAGUGACCUCACAACCACAAACACCAGCCACAUGAUCAGCACUGGCCUAUCAGGCACUCAGGCACAAGUGACAUCACAACCACAAACUCCACCCACAGCACCAGCACUGGCCUAUCAGGCACUGAGCCACAAGUGACAUCACAAACACAAACUGCACCCACAGGACCAGCACUGGCCUAUCAGGCACUGAGGCACUCAGCCACAAGCAUCACCAAAGCUAUGGGCAUGCUGUUGGCCUACCAGAUUCAGAGGCACAACUCACCUCACAAGCACAAAUGGCAUCGACCUGCCUGCUGCUGCCCUAUCUGGGACCGAGUCACAAGGGAUCUGAAAAGUGCAAGCUCACCUGGGCCACUCUCACAUCCUUCGAUUACGCUGUGAUCACUCCA